RNAcentral lists this ribosomal RNA (220 nucleotides) under Thalassiosira antarctica. RNAcentral describes it as "partial Bacterial large subunit ribosomal RNA". It matches the Rfam family "Bacterial large subunit ribosomal RNA", at positions 1796 to 2008 of the family's 2925-position model. Lineage: Eukaryota; Bacillariophyta; Thalassiosirophyceae; Thalassiosirales; Thalassiosiraceae. The record is from RNAcentral.
CCAGGCGACUGUUUAUCAAAAACACAGGGCUCUGCUAAAUCGAGAGAUGAAGUAUAGGGCCUGACACCUGCCCGGUGCCGGAAGGUUAAAGGGAGAUGUUAUCCGCAAGGUGAAGCAUUGAACUGAAGCCCCGGUAAACGGCGGCCGUAACAAUAACGGUCCUAAGGUAGCGAAAUUCCUUGUCGGGUAAGUUCCGACCUGCACGAAUGGCGUAACGAUG